Molecule: long non-coding RNA, 1226 nt
Organism: Ailuropoda melanoleuca (giant panda)
Lineage: Eukaryota; Metazoa; Chordata; Mammalia; Carnivora; Ursidae
Source: Ensembl
CUUUGGGCAAAGGACAGUUGGAGGGUAGACCUUGUGUGGAGGGACACAUCUCCUACCACUUUUUGAUAGAAUGCCCUCUGCUCUCAUCUCCUCGGCUAAAUUAGUAUGAGUUUUUCUCCCACCACGUAUGUGAGAAGGUGGCAGAGAGCUACAAUUUCAGACAGCUGUCAUCCUAGAAAAGUCUCUCUUCCUCAACAUGACACACAAGCCACUCAGCCCUGUUGAUGAGAUUUCCAUGAAUUUGUUUUCUUCCACUUCCACCCUCUUCUUAUUUGCCAUAAUAACUAACCUUUAGGUUGUCUUCUGGGUGGUGUUGGCUCCCCCUUCUGACCCAGUUCUCUGCAUCUCCCUGUAGCUCCCCAACUCCACGAUGCUGUGUUCUUGUCCUUUUUUCAGAAACCUCCUUUUGGCUGGGUCAUUCAGGGACCUGCCUCUAUGUAGGAGCCACUCUCCAUUUACCUUGCACGAUGCUGUGUGAUUCAUGCCAACUUGCUUGUGUUCCCUGCUGGACUGCGAGCUCCCAGAGGCAAGAACAGAUUUCUUCACCUCUUAGUCCUCAUCCAUACUGCACAGCCCACGGGCACCCUUGCACCACCAUGAAUGCCAACAGCCAUUUUGCUGAGCAGAUAUGAGCUCCCAGGGCACUGGCAGCAAGGAGGAGCAGGACCCCGAGGCAGCCCUGAGGCCCCAGUGAACGCCCAGCCAAGAAGUGCGGAGGGUGCCUCUCGUUGCUUUCCUCGCUGGCGGGCAGUGCCCGACUUUCCCCAGGAUGCCUGAGGUUUCCGAAUUCGCUCAUGUAUACCCAGCCUUGAGCCACUACGAAGACCUGUGCAGACCCCGGUGUGUCUCCUUUCCUGCAUGUGAUACUAAAACCCACAUCACAAUGCCCACGCCAAAAGACCAGCUGGAAACUACGGUUGUGAUACCUCCUUUCCUCCUAAACUCUGUCAGGUUGAAUUUGGCUUCUAUUUCAAUUAUAUUAUAUAUGAGGGGUCACAUGUGUUCCAGUUUGUGGAAAAUGGUGUUCCAGGCUGUGUUUCCAGCAAGCUGUGGCAAGAAUCAGCCUUUUAGACCGAAGGGGUACAAGGACAAAAGAAGAAGGAAAAGAGUAAGAAAUUCCAGACUGAGGCCGAGGCUGGACAGUUUCAUGGAUCAGCAUCUAUUCGCUGUUUCACACUUGGGGCUUAUUCUGUAAAGUACCAUCGCCAACCCACCAACUCUUACAC